GAGACUGUAGUUUAAUGGUUAAAAUAUGUGACUUUUAAUCACCAAGAUAUGGGUUCGACUCCCAUCGGUCUUA
RNAcentral lists this transfer RNA (73 nucleotides) under Rickettsiales bacterium. RNAcentral describes it as "tRNA-Lys". It matches the Rfam family "tRNA". Rfam says of the family: Transfer RNA (tRNA) molecules are approximately 80 nucleotides in length. Their secondary structure includes four short double-helical elements and three loops (D, anti-codon, and T loops). Further hydrogen bonds mediate the characteristic L-shaped molecular structure. tRNAs have two regions of fundamental functional importance: the anti-codon, which is responsible for specific mRNA codon recognition, and the 3' end, to which the tRNAs corresponding amino acid is attached (by aminoacyl-tRNA synthetases). tRNAs cope with the degeneracy of the genetic code in two manners: having more than one tRNA (with a specific anti-codon) for a particular amino acid; and 'wobble' base-pairing, i.e. permitting non-standard base-pairing at the 3rd anti-codon position. Lineage: Bacteria; Pseudomonadati; Pseudomonadota; Alphaproteobacteria; Rickettsiales. The record is from RNAcentral.